CUCUCUCUCAUAAACUGCCAAGUGCCUAGUAAGAAAAGGUUGAAACUUUCCUUCUCCUUUUAUGUAUCAAUACACACACCCCUACCAAAUGGGUUUUUCUCUUUUGCUUCUUUUUGCUCUCUCAGCUAUGUUAAGAAAGAGGCACUUCUUCAGCAUAAUAGUAUUAAAAAAGAAAGUGCCACAAGAACAACAUCAUAAAACAAUU
This 205-nucleotide long non-coding RNA is filed under the name Panax ginseng (ginseng). RNAcentral's name for it is "long non-coding RNA (PGIN_LNC015807)". The record is from RNAcentral. Lineage: Eukaryota; Viridiplantae; Streptophyta; Magnoliopsida; Apiales; Araliaceae.